GGGAAUGGAGUUCAGAGUUAGAGCACUUGCCUGCCAUGCAUGAAGCCCUGGGUUCGAUUUCCAGUACUGCCC
This 72-nucleotide transfer RNA is filed under the name Dipodomys ordii (Ord's kangaroo rat). It matches the Rfam family "tRNA". From Rfam's summary of the family: Transfer RNA (tRNA) molecules are approximately 80 nucleotides in length. Their secondary structure includes four short double-helical elements and three loops (D, anti-codon, and T loops). The record is from Rfam by way of RNAcentral. Lineage: Eukaryota; Metazoa; Chordata; Mammalia; Rodentia; Heteromyidae.